CCUACGGGUGGCAGCAGUGGGGAAUAUUGCACAAUGGGGGAAACCCUGAUGCAGCGACGCCGCGUGAGUGAAGAAGUAUCUCGGUACGUAAAGCUCUAUCAGCAGGGAAGAGAAUGACGGUACCUGACCAAGAAGCCCCGGCUAACGACGUGCCAGCAGCCGCGGUAAUACGUAGGGGGCAAGAGUUAUCCGGAUUUACUGGGUGGAAAGGGAGCGUAGAAGGCCGAACAAGUCUGGAGUGAAAUCCCGGGGCUUAACCCCGGAACUGCUUUGGAAACUGUGCGGCUGGAGUGCAGUAGGGGUAAGCGGAAUUCCUAUUGUAGCGGUGAAAUUCGUAGAUAUUAGGAGGACCACCGGUGGCGAAGGCGGCUUACUGGACUGUAACUGCCGUUGAGGCUC
This 399-nucleotide ribosomal RNA is filed under the name uncultured bacterium. RNAcentral describes it as "partial 16S ribosomal RNA". It matches the Rfam family "Bacterial small subunit ribosomal RNA", at positions 338 to 754 of the family's 1533-position model. The record is from RNAcentral.